Dreissena polymorpha is the source of this 508-nucleotide long non-coding RNA. RefSeq lists it as uncharacterized. Lineage: Eukaryota; Metazoa; Mollusca; Bivalvia; Myida; Dreissenidae. The transcript has 2 exons. The record is from RefSeq and is a predicted model, not a curated record.
GGUGGCGGUGGUGGCGGCGGCGGAGGUGGCGGCGGCGGAGCAUCGUGUGGCCGGAAGAAGUGCCAACCGGUUCGAUGUAGGACGCCGACAACCAAGCCAGGGGACUGCUGUCCCCACUGCCCGUCAGGGGUCUACUGAGACCCACAGAACCCGCAACGCACUCCUUAACCCAUUUAUGCCUAGUGGACUCUCCCAUCCUGCUAAAUUGGAUCAAUUUAUUUCCAAAAUUAGGGAUCUCUAGUAAAUUUAUUUCUAUAUUUAGAAUAUUUCUUACAGAAAUUCCCUUAAGCAAACAGCGCAGACACUGAUGAGACGCCGCAUCAUGCGGUGUCUCAUCUGGAUCUAUGCUGUUUGCCAAUGCCUUUUUUCUGGACGCUAGGCAUAAAUGGGUAAAGAUUCGUUUUUACGUACAAGCGACCGAUCGUAAUCGGUCUCUAAGACCAAUACUGUGGGUGUUUUCUUCCUUGCAAAUGUUGACUCAUUCAAUAAUAAUUACAUAUGACGUUGA